This 492-nucleotide ribosomal RNA is filed under the name uncultured bacterium. RNAcentral's name for it is "partial 16S ribosomal RNA". It matches the Rfam family "Bacterial small subunit ribosomal RNA", at positions 29 to 507 of the family's 1533-position model. The record is from RNAcentral.
AGUGAACGCUGGCGGUAGGCCUAACACAUGCAAGUCGAACGGCAGCACAGUAAGAUCUUGCUCUUACGGGUGGCGAGUGGCGGACGGGUGAGGAAUACAUCGGAAUCUACUUUUUCGUGGGGGAUAACGUAGGAAAACUUACGCUAAUACCGCAUACGACCUACGGGUGAAAGCAGGGGAUCUUCGGACCUUUCGCGAUUGAAUGAGCCGGUUUCGGAUUAGGUAGUUGGCGGGGUAAAGGCCCACCAAGGCCACGAUGCGUAGCUGGUCUGAGCGGAUGAUCGGCCAAAACGGAACUGGAAAACGGUCCAGACCCCUACGGGAGGCAGCAGGAGGGAAUUUUCGGCAAAGGGCGGAAGCCUGACGGAGGAACUCCGCGGGGGGGAAGAAGGGCUUCGGGUUGGAAAACUCUUUUAUUUGGGAAGAAAAAGUGGGUGAUUAACUCUCCACGGUUUGACGGUACCCAAACAGAAAGCAACGGCUAACUUCGUG